Molecule: non-coding RNA, 1426 nt
Organism: Paramuricea clavata
Lineage: Eukaryota; Metazoa; Cnidaria; Anthozoa; Malacalcyonacea; Plexauridae
Source: the annotation of a GenBank genome assembly
UUUUCACCAAGAGUACAGCAGGCAAUAGAAAACAGAAAUCUGAUUGACAAUGUCCGUAAUGAGUUUGUCCGUGAUAUAUGUGACGCAAUACGGCAGCACACUCUCUAUCCAACCAAAAUGGAACGGGAGCAUGUGGCAAUGAAAGUGGUGGAUGCAUAUCCUUUUCUUAAGGAUUCAAUCGGAAGUGGAAUUGUAAGUUACUGUGUAUAUAGACUAGAUAAGUAAAUGCCUAGAUUAGGUUGGGACAGUUUUCGGAAUAACCAAUAGGAAAUAAUAGAGCGUAAUAUAGUUUUUCGUUUUACCUCAAAAAACCCACAACAGUCUGUUUCAUCCGAAUAGGAAUCAUCCGACCACCUGAUGAUUCCUAUACGGAUGAAACAGACUGUUGUGGUUUUUUUGAGGUAAAACGAUAAACUAUACAGUAUAUAUAUAUAUAUAUAUAUAUAUAUAUAUAUAUAUAUAUAUAUAUAUAUAUAUAUAUAUAUAUAUAUAUAUAUAUAUAUAUAUAUAUAUAUAUAUAUAUAUAUAUAUAUAAAACUUUUUGAUAAAUGAGUAAAGUUGUCCUCCAAAUAUCACCCACAUUUGGCAUAUCGUGCAUUAACCAUAUAUCACAUGCAUGCAUGUUAAAUUCAAUGAGGGACAAUUUAAACUAAUUGCCGAGUAAUACUAAUCGGUGGUUAAAAGAGAGUUAGCACUUUAUUGGAAUUUUGCAGUAUAUGAUUGUAGGCAGCUGUGGUUGUUAAAUUUAGUUCACAUCAAAUUUUUAAUUCCACUGAUGAAAUAUGCAAAUCGCAUGCUAAAAUAUAUUUAAUAAACUUGUUUUGCAGCUAUUUACAAAGUAAAAAACAUGAGCAAUUUCGUAAGCGUGGGAAACGGGGUGCCUGCCCUCCCAGAACUUUUCCUCAAAGUGCCCUUUUUUAACAAAAAGGGUGCCUUUAUGAUGCAGUGCCCCUCCAACUUUAUGCUGCUUUCUACGCCCUUGAGUAAUAUCUAUAUAUGAUCACGGAUAAUUAUUUUUUAUUCAACUUUGCAGGGGUCAUUGGAACAGUCAAUGACAUUUAGGUUUAAGAACCUGAGGAAGAAUAGGUCUGACCAGAAUAAGUCCGCGCCGUCCGGUGAAUUGAAUCCACGCGAGAAUGAACCCUUAACAAGUCAAGUUGAUGCAACAACAUCCAAUCCAAAAAGGAUAAAGCUGACAGCGGCAAGGUCCUUGCCUCCUAUUCCUGAGGCAGAGACAAUCGAGACUUAUAAGGAUCACUGCAAACGAUUAUGCAAGGAAAUGGCAAAGCCAAAGGCAAGAAACCUAACACUAAUAAAAGAGAUCAUGGACUGUAGCUUUGCUAUGCGUCGGCGUGAGAUUAUCGAAGAACCAAAGCCAGUCGCUGUGAUUCUGAAAAAAUUUCCUGCUUUGUCAUUACCUUUUGAA